Molecule: long non-coding RNA, 1322 nt
Organism: Carassius carassius (crucian carp)
Lineage: Eukaryota; Metazoa; Chordata; Actinopteri; Cypriniformes; Cyprinidae
Exons: 3
Source: RefSeq, a predicted model, not a curated record
AGAACUGCACAUCAAGCUUUCAUGCAAGUUAGUUUCAGUUUUAUGUUUGCAUUCCUAUUCAGUGGCUCAGUGAGGCAUACUGCAUGUGAAGUGAAAUCUGUCAUCUUGUUAUGAACUGAUAAACAUGAACAAAGUCUCAAACCUUCAGUAGGAUGAUGUCAACAACAGCAGUCGGGAAACAAUGCCGAGCAUCAGUCCCAUAAAGAGCGUAAUGAUUGCAAAAAUCACAUAAGAGCCCCAGGAAGGGAUACCGAGCGUAUUCGUCAGGAGAGAGGAUGGAGACUUCCAUCCUGGCACCGGCUCAACCGUCGCCCACUUCUUCUGCUCAACAUACGCCUGGAUAUCCUCAAUAGUCCGUGAUGAAACAUAUUUGCGGAAAUUUCCAUCUUUAGCACUGUGGAUGAGAUGGGUUGUACAAUAUUAUACUUUAAAUUGGUACAUGCUAUUUUUAAUCUAAAAAUGGAAUCUAAAAGAGCGUUUUGAAAGCCAGUUUUGCCAUAACGCCAGAGGGAAUAUAAAUUCAGCCAUCUGAGGACUUACUGAAAUAUAGUCGGCAGUGUUGUAACCAGAAACCUCCCACUCAGACCUGCAGAACAAAAGAAGAGAGGACGGAUAUAUUGAUGCAGAAAUGCAGAUAGGAGAGCAAGCACAUCCUAUACCGGCCUAAGAAAUCCCUUCGGCAUGGGAAGGCGGUGAGUGCUCUAUAGCAGCGCUGUAAUAAGAGUAAAGCAUGACAGAUUUCUGACAGUAAGAGGCGUUUUCUCCCCGCCAACUGAGAUUUCCACAGAAACACACGAAAACGACACCAUUCAAGCAACACACUCCACAUCCACCCGCAUCAUUAGCCGAUUAAAUGCAUUUAAAAUGCAAUUAGCGUUCAAAGGGAGUCGUCUAAAUGAGUCUGGAUAUAAUGGUACAGUAUUAAUAAUAAAGGCUUUCAUCUGCUUGUGAUGUCACUCGAUGGCACACAUCAAAUAUAGCUGAUAAUAACUGCAGGAGGAAUUGAAAUGAGUGACGUGUUAAAAUCUAAUUCCUUUUAAAGCCCCACAGGAGUUCAUUCCAGCCACAUGACUAAACUUAAAGACUUCUGUGUGCAAACAAUCCAGCAGUGUUUGAUAUAAAUGCCAGACACACUGCUGUUGAUCAGACCGGACGCAAACAAGGCGCUCAUGUUGAUGAGAGUAUCAUACGCACAGAAUGAUUUGCUUUGAAUGUGCCACAUCCUGUUUUAUAAUAUUAGCGUCACUGCUGAAGUCUUUUGUUUUAACUCAGCUGUUGCAUAAUGUGAAGAUGUUGUUGCACUGCAUUUCAUUAACUUGCUU